Molecule: ribosomal RNA, 699 nt
Filed under: uncultured archaeon
Lineage: Archaea
Description: bacterial SSU rRNA
Rfam family: Archaeal small subunit ribosomal RNA
Source: RNAcentral
GGAUAACCUACCCUUAGGACUGGGAUAACCCUGGGAAACUGGGGCUAAUACCGGAUAGGCAAUUUUUCCUGGAAUGGUUUCUUGUUUAAAUGUUUUUUCGCCUAAGGAUGGGUCUGCGGCCGAUUAGGUAGUUGGUUAGGUAAUGGCUUACCAAGCCGUUGAUCGGUACGGGUUGUGAGAGCAAGAGCCCGGAGAUGGAACCUGAGACAAGGUUCCAGGCCCUACGGGGUGCAGCAGGCGCGAAACCUCCGCAAUGUGAGAAAUCGCGACGGGGGGAUCCCAAGUGCCAUUCUUAACGGGAUGGCUUUUCAUUAGUGUAAAGAGCUUUUGGAAUAAGAGCUGGGCAAGACCGGUGCCAGCCGCCGCGGUAACACCGGCAGCUCUAGUGGUAACAAUUUUUAUUGGGCCUAAAGCGUCCGUAGCCGGUUUAAUAAGUCUCUGGUGAAAUCCUGUAGCUUAACUGUGGGAAUUGCUGGAGAUACUAUUAGACUUGAGACCGGGAGAGGUUAGAGGUACUCCCAGGGUAGAGGUGAAAUUCUGUAAUCCUGGGAGGACCGCCUGUUGCGAAGGCGUCUAACUGGAACGGUUCUGACGGUGAGGGACGAAAGUUAGGGGCGCGAACCGGAUUAGAUACCCGGGUAGUCCUAACUGUAAACGAUGCGGACUUGGUGUUGGGGUGGCUUUGAGCUGCUCCAGUGC